UUGCUUCCUCUCAUAUUUCGUACAAGUUUCGAAGACUUAUCUAGUUUAUACUAGUGGCGUCUACCAAUCUUGUUUGAACUUAUCACCAUCUUUGGUGUGGCGUUCACCUAUCCUUCUAUUCCAUUUAUCCACCUUCACAAUAUAGGAACCGGGGUGACACUUUUUUGUGUUGAAUUAUUCCUGACGUUAAGUUCACUAUUCCAUUCCCACCUUACAUUAUCUCCUUAUUAUUGUUUCCAAGCUGAACCAAC
Molecule: long non-coding RNA, 251 nt
Filed under: Gossypium barbadense (sea-island cotton)
Lineage: Eukaryota; Viridiplantae; Streptophyta; Magnoliopsida; Malvales; Malvaceae
Description: long non-coding RNA (GBAR_LNC003118)
Source: RNAcentral